RNAcentral lists this ribosomal RNA (276 nucleotides) under uncultured bacterium. RNAcentral describes it as "partial 16S ribosomal RNA". It matches the Rfam family "Bacterial small subunit ribosomal RNA", at positions 28 to 334 of the family's 1533-position model. The record is from RNAcentral.
GACGAACGCUGGCGGCAGGCUUAACACAUGCAAGUCGAGCGCCCCGCAAGGGGAGCGGCAGACGGGUGAGUAACGCGUGGGAAUCUACCUUUUGCUACGGAAUAACUCAGGGAAACUUGUGCUAAUACCGUAUGUGCCCUUCGGGGGAAAGAUUUAUCGGCAAAGGAUGAGCCCGCGUUGGAUUAGCUAGUUGGUGGGGUAAAGGCCUACCAAGGCGACGAUCCAUAGCUGGUCUGAGAGGAUGAUCAGCCACACUGGGACUGAGACACGGCCCAG